GUAUUACAAUUAUGUUAUUGUAUAAUGCAUUCAAAUAGCUCAAGUGUUUGUAAAGGAAACAUAGACAAGGGACUGGAGUCUUUUGUCUACUGAGAAGUGCACAGGUGGAUAUUGGUUUUUGGAGUGCACAUGCCCCUGAUGAGGCCAGCACAUCCUUUAAAAAUCAAUAAUGAUCCUUCCGCAGGUUCACCUACGGAAA
Molecule: unclassified non-coding RNA, 199 nt
Filed under: uncultured fungus
Lineage: Eukaryota; Fungi
Description: sequence contains ITS1
Source: RNAcentral